GAUGAACGCUGGCGGCGUGCCUAAUACAUGCAAGUCGAACGAACGGACGAGAAGCUUGCUUCUCUGAUGUUAGCGGCGGACGGGUGAGUAACACGUGGAUAACCUACCUAUAAGACUGGGAUAACUUCGGGAAACCGUAGCUAAUACCGGAUAAUAUUUUGAACCGCAUGGUUCAAAAGUGAAAGACGGUCUUGCUGUCACUUAUAGAUGGAUCCGCGCUGCAUUAGCUAGUUGGUAAGGUAACGGCUUACCAAGGCAACGAUGCAUAGCCGACCUGAGAGGGUGAUCGGCCACACUGGAACUGAGACACGGUCCAGACUCCUACGGGAGGCAGCAGUAGGGAAUCUUCCGCAAUGGGCGAAAGCCUGACGGAGCAACGCCGCGUGAGUGAUGAAGGUCUUCGGAUCGUAAAACCCUGUUAUUAGGGAAGACCAUAUGUGUAAGUAACUGUGCACAUCUUGACGGUACCUAAUCAGAAAGCCACGGCUAACUACGUG
RNAcentral lists this ribosomal RNA (497 nucleotides) under uncultured bacterium. Its description in RNAcentral is "partial 16S ribosomal RNA". It matches the Rfam family "Bacterial small subunit ribosomal RNA", at positions 28 to 507 of the family's 1533-position model. The record is from RNAcentral.